Molecule: ribosomal RNA, 119 nt
Organism: Glarea lozoyensis 74030
Lineage: Eukaryota; Fungi; Ascomycota; Leotiomycetes; Helotiales; Helotiaceae
Source: Rfam
ACAUACGAUCAUAGAUUGUGGAAAACUAGGCAUCCCGUCCGCUCUGCCAUUAUAAGCCACAAAUCGGCAGGUUAGUAGUUGGGUGGGUGACCACCAGCGAAUACCUGCUGUCGUAUGUU